Molecule: ribosomal RNA, 1237 nt
Filed under: Triticum aestivum (bread wheat)
Lineage: Eukaryota; Viridiplantae; Streptophyta; Magnoliopsida; Poales; Poaceae
Description: partial small subunit ribosomal RNA
Source: RNAcentral
UAUAGCUCAAGUAGCUACGCUGCCAUCCACGUCACUGCUUAUGAACGGCCGUCUACAUAAGAACUCGCCGCCUCCGACCUUUCCGCACACCACUGCACCGCACACCACCUGCUCGAUCAAAUUACCCAGCGCCCGAACAACGCCGCUAGCCUCCGGCCGCCUCCGCCCCCGCCGAUGAGCUUUCUCGCCGGGCGCCUCGCCGCCCAGGAGGGCGCCUACUUCCUGCAGGAGUCCAAGCUCGCCGCCGGGCGCCUCGCGGCGAAGCUCCCCGCGUCCGCGCGUGGGCCCAGGCCGGCGUCCCCGCCUCCGUCGCCCGACGUGCUCCCGGAGAUCCUCCGCCACUCCGUGCCCAUCAGGCCGACGCCGCCUCCUGCCGACCCCACCCUCUACGGCUCCACCCGCUGGGCCCUCCCACAGGGCGGCGCCGAGGCCGCUGGGGUGUCCCCCGACGUGCUCAACCCGCUUCGCUCGUACGUCGCCCUGCCGCAGGCCACCUUCGGCCCCAAAAGAUGGGAACUUCCAACUGAGCAGCCUUACUACUCAGCGGCAACUGCCAAUGAGCGGCGGCGUGAUAUGCACCCUCCUCCCAUGGAUCCUGAGAAGUUGAAGGCUGUAAUUGCUGGAUACUCACAGGUUGGAAAGGCAUUUCUUGCUGGCACUAUAUUGGUGUUUGGAGGAGCAACAGCUGUGUUGUUGUAUACGGCGAAUAAACUACAGUUGCAUUCAGUAGACGACGUCAGAGCUAAAGGAAAAGACGCAGUGCAACCACAUGCCGAUAUGAUCAAAGAACAGAUAGCUCCACUAAGGAAAUGGGCUGAAGGCACAUCCCGAAAAUGGCAUUACGAAGGCGACAGAGAGUCCGGGGAGAAGUCUGUCCUUGUUAGAGAGCUUUCAAGGGCACUUGGUUCUAAGACGCGUCCUCCGAAUUGAUCAAUACUACUGGCGAGUGGCUGUUGUCGUUGUUGUUGUAACCUGUAAGUCCACCAUUAUGAAGCUUUCGCUUGUUUUACGUGUCUGCCUUGUCUAUAUGUGUAAGGCUACAAGGAACGAAAUCAAUGUACAUAUGUUACCCCUAUGUUAAAUAAAGCAGGGUUUGCCACUCUAGUGGGGAGGCAAUAGCUGGUAUGUCGGGGCUUGUGUUUAUCUGGAGCCAUUAUCUAGUGCUGACGGCCAAUUUGCCACUCUAGUGAAGAGAAGCUGUACAGGACGUAUCUAUCUCCAACAGAUUCCGGAAGCC